CCAAGGCCCUCAAGGAUUAAGUCUGACUGUAGCCGCUUAAUCAUGUUACAUCCCUUUAUUGUAACGCACUGGUGGACCAUCGCGAAGACCUGUUGGUUCAAGUUCUGCCCAUAUGUUUGACUCCCAUGACCACAAGGGUGUUGGUUCAGGUCUGCACGAGUGACCCUAUAAAUACAGCCCUCUCGCCAGGCGAGUGGGCUAUCAAUCAUUCCAUCCAUUCCACUAUCAUAUUCUCCUCAGCUAGCUCCAAAUAAAUUCGCUGCAAUCCAUCGCAACCAUCAACCAUGAAGUGCCCCAAGUACAACCACAAUAACCCGACCUACAAGGACAAUUGCGAAAGUUGCGGUGCCGAACUGCCCAAAGCUAUGAAAGGGGCCUAAAUCUAAGAGCCAGGCUCAAAGGAAAAGGCCUGGCUUGAGCCUCUGGUAUCGAACACGAGGAAAUUGUAUUCAUUGGGGCCUGUGUCACUUGUUUAUCCGUGUCCUUCUGUGUUCACAUGAUAUUUCUAGCAUAUCAACUUGCUUUUUGUCACCCGUUUAUACAUGUCUGGCUUUAUUCUGGUAUAUAAAACAUAUCACUGUUGCUUCAGCAUUUUCCAGCCACCUUAAAAACUUCGCUGUCCCAUUGAAAAAUCAUGAUACAAAUUCACUAUCGCCGAGACAUUCCUACCAUAAAGUAUGGGAUUUCUUGCUAGGGAUAGUUACAUGCAAGACAUGAUAACGUAGAAAAGUGUUUGAGAUACCGAUAAGAAAUCCCGUCGAUCUUUUAAGAGAGAUAGGUUAAACACCUCCCUAAAGGUUCUCACUCCUGCUUUCUUCGAUGAACUUCAUUGCUCUUUCACUUUCUGGAUCCCUGCAGAGAUAAUAAUAAUCCAGCCAAAAUUCACGCGCGACACUGUGAUCGGGCAUAUACUUUCGUAGCAAAGCCUUCCACUCCUUGUCCUCCAUACUAUCAGGGACUGAUGUACAAACAUACUCCCACCAUACUGGAAAGUAACCAGACAUCUCCCAAUCAAUUAUGCCAGUAACAGAGCCGUUCUCAACCAUGAUAUUGACAUUAGUGAGGUCGCCAUGCGUAAAGGUAUAAGGCGUAGCGGAUGGCAUGCAAUGUCGAAGUCGUAUUCGCGCAGCCUCGGGUAUGGUUUCUUUCAACCCACGCUCCAUAUCAGCCCAGAGUUCGUCAUCCGAUGCUAGAGGACCGUGAGGAAGCUCGGAGUCUUUGUCUUUGAACAGGAAAUUGGAAUAAACAGGACGGCCAUCAAGCGCUUGGAUAUUAUCGGACUGAAGCUUGCGAAGUUCUAGCAGAUACUCAGCUGUCUGCCUAGCUAUCAUUUCUUUUUCACCUGUGGAAAGCUUCGGCCAGACGUUGCUGAGGGGCUCGCCAGGAAUACGCUUCAUUAAGAUAAGGGUGUGUUCGCCUUCGUUCCAAGAUUCGACAACGGUGGGAACAGGAAUGGAUGUCUUUUCCUGCACAAACUGAAUAUUUGGUACUUCAAUGGUCGGAAGACUAGCACCUCGAUCUUUAAGAAUCAAAUUUGAGCCCAAUGACCAGACGCCU
Molecule: small RNA, 1557 nt
Filed under: Histoplasma ohiense
Lineage: Eukaryota; Fungi; Ascomycota; Eurotiomycetes; Onygenales; Ajellomycetaceae
Description: hypothetical lncRNA
Source: RNAcentral